CGGACGGGUGAGUAACGCGUGGGUAACCUGCCUCAUACAGGGGGAUAACAGUUAGAAAUGGCUGCUAAUACCGCAUAAGCGCACGGUACCGCAUGGUACGGUGUGAAAAACUCCGGUGGUAUGAGAUGGACCCGCGUUGGAUUAGCUAGUUGGCAGGGUAACGGCCUACCAAGGCGACGAUCCAUAGCUGGCCUGAGAGGGUGGACGGCCACAUUGGGACUGAGACACGGCCCAG
This 235-nucleotide ribosomal RNA is filed under the name uncultured bacterium. RNAcentral's name for it is "partial 16S ribosomal RNA". It matches the Rfam family "Bacterial small subunit ribosomal RNA", at positions 99 to 334 of the family's 1533-position model. The record is from RNAcentral.